This 274-nucleotide ribosomal RNA is filed under the name uncultured bacterium. RNAcentral describes it as "partial 16S ribosomal RNA". It matches the Rfam family "Bacterial small subunit ribosomal RNA", at positions 523 to 796 of the family's 1533-position model. The record is from RNAcentral.
CUACGGAGGGUGCAAGCGUUAUUCGGAAUCACUGGGCGUAAAGGACGCGUAGGAGGGUUGGCAAGUCAGAUGUGAAAUCCUACAGCUUAACUGUAGAACUGCAUUUGAAACUGCUAACCUAGAGUAUGGGAGGGGGAGAUGGAAUUAGUGGUGUAGGGGUAAAAUCCGUAGAUAUCACUAGGAAUACCGAAAGCGAAGGCGAUCUCCUGGAACAUAACUGACGCUAAGGCGUGAAAGCGUGGGGAGCAAACAGGAUUAGAUACCCUAGUAGUCC